This 458-nucleotide unclassified non-coding RNA is filed under the name uncultured Glomus. Its description in RNAcentral is "SSU rRNA". It matches the Rfam family "Eukaryotic small subunit ribosomal RNA", at positions 569 to 1033 of the family's 1831-position model. The record is from RNAcentral. Lineage: Eukaryota; Fungi; Glomeromycota; Glomeromycetes; Glomerales; Glomeraceae.
AGCAGCCGCGGUAAUUCCAGCUCCAAUAGCGUAUAUUAAAGUUGUUGCAGUUAAAAAGCUCGUAGUUGAAUUUCGGGAUCAAUAUGUCGGUCGUGCCUUGGUACGUACUGGUAUCAUUGGUCUCUCCUUUCUGACGAACCAUGAUGUCAUUAAUUUGGUGUUAUGGGAAGUUAGGACUGUUACUUUGAAAAAAUUAGAGUGUUUAAAGCAGGCUUUAGCUUGAAUACAUUAGCAUGGAAUAAUGAAAUAGGACGUUCGAACCUAUUUUGUUGGUUUCUAGGAUCAACGUAAUGAUUAAUAGGGAUAGUUGGGGGCAUUAGUAUUCAAUUGUCAGAGGUGAAAUUCUUGGAUUUAUUGAAGACUAACUACUGCGAAAGCAUUUGCCAAGGAUGUUUUCAUUAAUCAAGAACGAAAGUUAGGGAUCGAAGACGAUCAGAUACCGUCGUAGUCUUAACCAU